Rhinichthys klamathensis goyatoka is the source of this 259-nucleotide long non-coding RNA. RefSeq lists it as uncharacterized. NCBI's taxonomy places the organism in Eukaryota, Metazoa, Chordata, Actinopteri, Cypriniformes, Leuciscidae. The record is from RefSeq and is a predicted model, not a curated record. The transcript has 3 exons.
AGGCCUACCGUUACUGUACAUAGUGUUGAUCUCUGCUGGAUCUGCUGGAUCUCUGAUGAUUGUUGCUGUAGUCGUGAUCUUCUGCAUCUGUAAGAAAUGUAGAAAAACAGUCGAGACCGAGGAGGAAGACAGAACUCAUUCAGCAUUGUGCAAACCAACAACACGACAAAAGAAAUCGAAGACGGAGUCUGUGUAUGAAAAUGUCCCCAAAAAACGAUGAUCAAACAUCAUAUCUACUUGAACUUUUGUUAGAGCUCAU